Megalopta genalis is the source of this 2330-nucleotide non-coding RNA. NCBI's taxonomy places the organism in Eukaryota, Metazoa, Arthropoda, Insecta, Hymenoptera, Halictidae. The record is from RefSeq and is a predicted model, not a curated record.
CCGACGGUGUUACCGCGUCGGGACGAUGGUGUCGACCGAGAAGCCUCCUCGAAGGCGAGCUCGUCGAACUGCUUGCUGCCUCCUGUUCGGAAAUUUUCUCGGACGACCGGAAGAAUUUUCGGAACGCGGCCACAACCUUUUCUUUCGAUCUCGUAGACAUGGCUCGACCUCGCUUUUCUUUCCUAGUGCCCUGCAAUUCGAAUAUUCGAUCGAGAGAGAUUCGACAAUUCGAUUCGUUAAGGAUUAGAAUUCUCGAGCAUGUUGAUCUCCCGCAGCAACAGUCUCGACGAACCGAAACACGAUUCCUCUCUGGAUGGUCAUUGUCGAAUAACUCGCGAAUACGCGGAGACAUAAUCGUUGGAAGAGAAACAGCCGAUAAACGAUACGGCAAGUAUGGAAUUGCUCUCUCACCCUUUUCGCGUGGCGUUGAUCAAGAUUCGCUCCAAGAGAACGGGUACGGCCUCCCGAAGAACAUUUUAACGUCGCUUAUCGCUGAAAACACUGUACUUCAGGGAAUGAAUAAUUGAUGGAAGAGCUGUUGUGUAUAUCGGAUGCGACACUAUACGAGGGUGCUAGAGGCGAAAGACGCGGGGAUAGAAUACGGCGCAGUCUCCACCCUCAUCGAACCGAUCGACCGCGUAGUUCGGAAAGACUUGCUAACUCUGUCGGCCAGUGCCUCGUUAUUUCUCUCUUCUCCUUUUACUUCGACUUUAUGAAAUAUUUUCGUUAAACGCAACAGUAGUCCCUGCUUCGAGCGUUCGACGAACCGUUGGAUUCGUUACACUAUUAUUCGAGUUUGCAGCGACUAUUAUUUAACGUGUAUAUCGCGAUACGAUGGUGAAGUCGUUUCAGAAGUAAUUUCUACUUACCGAUUCGACAAAAAUAAAUAUUUGGCAUAUCGCGAGUUUAUUUGUCGUUUAUUUUCGGAAAAAUAUCAUGCGCAUAGAACAUUAUAUAGAAAUCAAAUUAUCUGAAAAAUACUGUUUCGUACAUUUUCUCAUGCUUUUAAACUCAAUUUUUCUUCUUUUCUCUUUUUCCUUUUUUUUUUUUUCACUUUUAGCGAUAUUUAGACAUCGCGUUGUUACGAUAAAACGAUUUUAUGGAAAGAAACGCACGAUCGGCGAUGGUCCUGUUCGACCGCAACAAUUUUACAAAUUUCAUAUUGAUCCGAUUUGCGUAGCUGUUAUCGAGAGAUGACGAAUUUUCUAACAGAUUGUAACCGAGCAACCGUGCUAGAGUAUCAUCAGGGAAUCGAUACGAAAGCUUGAAAAUUUAUCCGCGCAUAGGUUCUAUAACCGGCUCGAUCGUCGAUCGAGUAAACGUACAGUUUAAUUAUCGAUCCAAUAAUCGUUUAUUCUUCCAUGGCACCGUGAUAUAACAAUUCAAAUAUUUUUUAGAGAAUAGGAAAACUAAAAUAUGUUUUGUUAAAUAUGCGAAGACGAGAAGGCACGAUAAAUACUGAAUCCAUGCCCAUUUUAAUUCUUCCCAUAUACUAGGUUGAUAAUAAAUUAAACGUUCUCUGUACAUUAAUUCUCCACGAACUACUACUUUCUCUUGUUCGGAGAAUCUACUUCGAUGGGUUACGUGUUCGUUACUGAUUUUCGCUGAAACUAAAAGAUCAGAGACGUUACGAUACGAUAUUUUCUUAAAUCUAAAAUGAUAAUAUCGACGAGCUAUACCAACAUUUUUUAUUUGCAUUUUGCAUAAGCAAUUCCUCUAAUGUGUUAUCAGCCAUUUCUAUACUGUAAUUAUGUAAGUUGUAUGAACCUUGACCGGUGAGAAGUCCCUUUUGUUCUAACGUUAAAUCUCCAAAAAAUUCUACUUCUUGUACUUCGUCGUUUAAUACGUGAUUAAAUACAGCGAUCGAUUCUAUCGUUAUGUAAUAUAGUUGCUAUAAAAAAUUCAGGGCACGAAUAUGUUAAUAUUAUAGGCAUAUUUGUACGAUCGUUGGGAUAUCGUCGGCGUUAUCUUUAUAUCGUUAUUACCUUGAGUUUAAAAUCGAAGAAAAGUAGAAGCAUUAAAUUCUUAAUCGGCGUAUCUGUAUAGAACUGAGCCUCGAAUUUUAAAAUGUCUUUUACUCCGUCGCUGUUCGUGUCUACUUCUUGCACCUAAAAUUUCAUAGACUUCGUAUUUGCAAAAUAUAUCGACGAUUUAUACGCGUCGAUAGACAGAAAUCCAAUAAUAAUAAGACCUUUAUCAAUACACAGUCGUCUGUAAUUUUAUUACUUUUAUAUGUUGUGAACACCGAACAAACGAUAGGAUUAACCUUAUAGUCUCUGUAUCCUAAUAACAUAUACUUGUAAUUAAAUAACACAUCAGGUUUCUCUGCA